RNAcentral lists this ribosomal RNA (501 nucleotides) under uncultured bacterium. RNAcentral describes it as "partial 16S ribosomal RNA". It matches the Rfam family "Bacterial small subunit ribosomal RNA", at positions 29 to 523 of the family's 1533-position model. The record is from RNAcentral.
AUUGAACGCUGGCGGCAUGCCUUACACAUGCAAGUCGAACGGCAGCACGGGUGCUUGCACCUGGUGGCGAGUGGCGAACGGGUGAGUAAUACAUCGGAACGUACCUUAUCGUGGGGGAUAACGCAGCGAAAGCUGUGCUAAUACCGCAUACGCCCUGAGGGGGAAAGCGGGGGAUCGAAAGACCUCGCGCGAUUAGAGCGGCCGAUGCCUGAUUAGCUUGUUGGUGGGGUAAAAGCCCACCAAGGCGACGAUCAGUAGCUGGUCUGAGAGGACGAUCAGCAAGCCGGGGACUGGGACAAGGCCCAGAGUCCGACGGGAGGCAGCAGUGGGGAAUUUUGGACAAUGGGGGCAACCCUGAUCCAGCAAUGCCGCGUGAGUGAAGAAGGCCUUCGGGUUGUAAAGCUCUUUUGUCAGGGAAGAAACACCGGCUCUAACACAGUCCGGGAAUGACGGUACCGUAAGAAUAAGCACCGGCUAACUACGUGCCAGCAGCCGCCGUAA